AGGAUCAUUCGCAAUGGGGGAAACCCUGACGGAGCGACGCCGCGUGGACGAUGAAGGCCGGAAGGUUGUAAAGUCCUUUAGUCUGUGAGGAAUAACGCCGGAGGGAAUGCCGGCGGAUGACUGUAGCAGAAGAAUAAGCACCGGCUAAUUACGUGCCAGCAGCCGCGGUAACACGUAAGGUGCGAGCGUUGUUCGGAAUUAUUGGGCGUAAAGGGCACGCAGGUGGUUCGGCAAGCUUGGUGUGAAAUCCCGGGGCUUAACCCCGGAACUGCAUUGAGAACUGCUGGACUAGAGUCAGCGAGGGGCAGCCGGAAUUCCAGGUGUAGGGGUGAAAUCUGUAGAUAUCUGGAAGAACACCAAUGGCGAAGGCAGGCUGCCAGCGCAUGACUGACGCUCAGGUUCGAAGGUGCGGGGAGCAAACA
RNAcentral lists this ribosomal RNA (422 nucleotides) under uncultured Treponema sp. Its description in RNAcentral is "bacterial SSU rRNA". It matches the Rfam family "Bacterial small subunit ribosomal RNA", at positions 358 to 774 of the family's 1533-position model. Lineage: Bacteria; Pseudomonadati; Spirochaetota; Spirochaetia; Treponematales; Treponemataceae. The record is from RNAcentral.